RNAcentral lists this ribosomal RNA (497 nucleotides) under uncultured bacterium. RNAcentral describes it as "partial 16S ribosomal RNA". It matches the Rfam family "Bacterial small subunit ribosomal RNA", at positions 28 to 507 of the family's 1533-position model. The record is from RNAcentral.
GAUGAACGCUGGCGGCGUGCCUAAUACAUGCAAGUCGAGCGAACGGACGAGAAGCCUGCUUUUCUGAUGUUAGCGGCGGACGGGUGAGUAACACGUGGAUAACCUACCUAUAAGACUGGGAUAACUUCGGGAAACCGGAGCUAAUACCGGAUAAUAUUUUGAACCGCAUGGUUCAAAAGUGAAAGACGGUCUUGCUGUCACUUAUAGAUGGAUCCGCGCUGCAUUAGCUAGUUGGUAAGGUAACGGCUUACCAAGGCAACGAUGCAUAGCCGACCUGAGAGAGUGAUCGGCCACCCUGGAACUGAGACACGGUCCAUACUCCUACGGGAGGCAGCAGUAGGGAAUCUUCCGCAAUGGGCGAAAGCCUGACGGAGCAACGCCGCGUGAGUGAUGAAGGUCUUCGGAUCGUAAAACUCUGUUAUUAGGGAAGAACAUAUGUGUAAGUAACUGUGCACAUCUUGACGGUACCUAAUCAGAAAGCCACGGCUAACUACGUG